UACAGAGGGGGCAAGCGUUGUUCGGAUUCAUUGGGCGUAAAGCGCGUGUAGGCGGCUUCUUAAGUCCGAUGUGAAAGCCCGGGGCUCACCCCCGGAAGUGCAUUGGAUACUGGCGGGCUAGAGUCCCGGAGAGGCAGGCGGAAUUCCUGGUGUAGCGGUGAAAUGCGUAGAUAUCAGGAGGAACACCCGUGGUGUAGACGGCCUGCUGGACGGCAACUGACGCUGAGGCACGAAAGCGUGGGGAGCAAACAGG
RNAcentral lists this ribosomal RNA (253 nucleotides) under uncultured bacterium. RNAcentral's name for it is "partial 16S ribosomal RNA". It matches the Rfam family "Bacterial small subunit ribosomal RNA", at positions 524 to 776 of the family's 1533-position model. The record is from RNAcentral.